GAGAGAGAGAGAGAGAGAGAGAGAGAGAUCGCCCCAGUUACUGUGCACUCCUUGGGGACUUGGGUCAGUUGCCAGGCUGACCAAGUUUGGGAGGCUUGAGAUGGCAAGUCCUGAACGUCCAAAACUUUACUGGGGUCCUCCGAUCCAGUGUCCUGUUGUCUCCCUGAAUUCUGUCUACCAUCGUUGCACUCCGCCUUCCAAGCUAGGGGUGUAGGCACUGGUUUUUGGUGGGGUACUCAUCAGAUACAAAAGUGGGAAUGAAAAUUCGCUUUUCCAAGGGGAACGGUGGACAGACACACCCUGGCACUGGUGGUCCUAAGUGUUAACAAAACAUCCGACCAAAGGGGUGGGGGCGUUGGAAAGAAACCGGCUGAGGGAGCUGGAGGAAGAGCUGGGUAAAGAAAAAGAGGGAGCAGCCUGAGGAAAGGCGAGUAAAGCAGCUGGCAAGGGCGGGAGGAAGAGGCUGCGCGCAGACCGAGCGGGGGAGAGGCUGGCGGGAGCGAGGAAAGCUGCAGGCGAGAGGGGGAGGUUUCUGGCAAGAGGCACAGGCGAACGCGGGCAGGGGAACUUCAGAAGAGGCUGCCAAAAAGGACUGGAGCUGCAGCAAUGUGAGGCAGUGGACAGGGGAGGCAGCAACCACCAGCCCUUGGCAGGUGAUGGUUUGGCUGGGAGAGAAAGGGGGAAGGGAGAGAGGCAGGCAUCUGUUUGGGGGCAGUGCCAAUAAAUGUGCUUCUCCUUGGCAGCCAGCAGAGGGGAAGAGGAGCUCACGGAAAAGAAAAGCAGGGAGGCGAGGUUAAGAAUAAAGCGUGUUCCAGGAGUGUGCCUCCCUGAACCAUAAAAUGGGGCAGGAGAAGAGAGUGAAUGGACCAAAGAUAGACCCCAUACUUAAUUCUGUUUUGUUCAUUGUCAUGUUAUUGCCUACAAUGGCAUCUGACACAUGGUGUCUUCUUCAUUCUGAAACUUCUAUUUCCAACUAAACUGAAUGAGAUCUUCAUUUUAUUUCCUGAGAUAUUAAAGGUGAAAACUGAAACCCAGUCUGUGACUGGAGGGAAUCUUAUGCAUGCCUGCCCUCAUCAUAACUCUGGAACUGCCUUCUCCAUUGCCCCUGAGAACUUGAUGUACAGAAGAUCUUUUGAAAGGAAAUCUCCAAGAUUUUACAUUUCUUUUGGAUGGUUGAAGGCUGCCAAACUCAGUGUUUCAAUGUGCAUUUCACAUGACAAGUGGAGGAUGCUCCCUGGAGGUCUCUGACAGAAAUCAGCAUGCUCAAAACGCUGCCAAUGCCACAAUAGGAAAGGCAUACAUGUCUGUGGAACACCGAGAGCUGCCAGGAACAGAUCAGCUUGAGAGAAAAAUGCUAACCACAACCCAACUUAGCUUCUAUUUAAAGGGACCAUUUGAGUAAGACAUAUUAAAAGGUUUAUAAAACAUGCAGAAAGUUGUUAGGGUCCAAGUUUUUGAGGUAUUCUAUUUAUUUUUCUGUGGUUCUUGUCAUAGUCUUAUGUUGUUUUCUAAGGUAUCUUGAUAUUUAAAGAAACAUCAUAACAGUGUAUUAUUCUCUAAAAUUACAAUCUCUGUGAAGAUGGCAAAUAGCAGGCUAUGUGAAAUUCCAAAGAAAUUACUGUGAAUGUGUCUACAUGAAAAACACAUUGCUGCUAUAUAUGUGUUUGAGUUUUAAGAACAAAUUAGCAUUUGGCUUUACUGACACUAAUUGUUAUGCAACUGAUGAAGUUGGUUAUAGGUAUGAGAAGAAGACACAGUAAAUAAAAUAACUCUAUGACCUUA
This is a non-coding RNA of Ictidomys tridecemlineatus (thirteen-lined ground squirrel), 1782 nucleotides long. The record is from RefSeq and is a predicted model, not a curated record. NCBI's taxonomy places the organism in Eukaryota, Metazoa, Chordata, Mammalia, Rodentia, Sciuridae.